Molecule: small nuclear RNA, 107 nt
Organism: Ochotona curzoniae (black-lipped pika)
Lineage: Eukaryota; Metazoa; Chordata; Mammalia; Lagomorpha; Ochotonidae
Source: RefSeq, a predicted model, not a curated record
GCGCUUGCUUUGGCAGCACAUAUACUAAAAUUGGAAUGAUACAGAGAAGAGUAACAUGGUCCCUGUGCAAGGAUUACAUGCAAAUUGGUGAAGCAUUCCAUAUAAAA